GAUGAACGCUGGCGGCGUGCUUAACACAUGCAAGUCGAACGGAAAGGCUCCUGCUUGCAGGGGUACUCGAGUGGCGAACGGGUGAGUAACACGUGGGUGAUCUGCCCUGCACUUCGGGAUAAGCCUGGGAAACUGGGUCUAAUACCGGAUAGGACGAUGGUUUGGAUGCCAUUGUGGAAAGUUUUUCGGUGUGGGAUGAGCUCGCGGCCUAUCAGCUUGUUGGUGGGGUAAUGGCCUACCAAGGCGUCGACGGGUAGCCGGCCUGAGAGGGUGUACGGCCACAUUGGGACUGAGAUACGGCCCAGACUCCUACGGGAGGCAGCAGUGGGGAAUAUUGCACAAUGGGCGGAAGCCUGAUGCAGCGACGCCGCGUGGGGGAUGACGGCCUUCGGGUUGUAAACUCCUUUCGUCAGGGACGAAGCGAAAGUGACGGUACCUGGAUAAGAAGCACCGGCUAACUACGUG
This 465-nucleotide ribosomal RNA is filed under the name uncultured bacterium. RNAcentral's name for it is "partial 16S ribosomal RNA". It matches the Rfam family "Bacterial small subunit ribosomal RNA", at positions 28 to 507 of the family's 1533-position model. The record is from RNAcentral.